This 302-nucleotide ribosomal RNA is filed under the name uncultured Fusobacteriota bacterium. RNAcentral describes it as "uncultured Fusobacteria bacterium partial 16S ribosomal RNA". It matches the Rfam family "Bacterial small subunit ribosomal RNA", at positions 375 to 691 of the family's 1533-position model. Lineage: Bacteria; Fusobacteriati; Fusobacteriota. The record is from RNAcentral.
CCAAAAGUCNGAUCCAGCAAUUCUGUGUGCUUGACCAAGGCCUUCGGGNAGAAAAGAGCUUCAAGUAGGGAAGAAGAAAGUGACGGUACCUACAGAAUAAGCGACGGCUAAAUACGUGCCAGCAGCCGCGGUAAUACGUAUGUCGCAAGGCGUUAUCCGGAAUUAUGGGGCAUAAAGGGCGUCUAGGCGGUUUAGAAAGUCUGAUGUGAAAAUGCGGGGCUCAACCCCGUAUUGCGCUGGAAACUACUAGACUAGAGUAUCGGAGAGGUAAGCGGAACUACANNNNNAGAGGUGAAAUGCGU